GAUGAAGAACGUAGUAAAAUGCGAUAAGUAAUGUGAAUUGCAGAAUUCAGUGAAUCAUCGAAUCUUUGAACGCACAUUGCGCCCGCCAGUAUUCUGGCGGGCAUGCCUGUUGGAGCGUCAUUUCAACCCUCAAGCACAGCUUGGUGUUGGGACUCGCGUUAAUUCGCGUUCCCCAAAUUGAUUGGCGGUCACGUCGAGCUUCCAUAGCGUAGUAGUAAAACCCUCGUUACUGGUAAUCGUCGCGGCCACGCCGUUAAACCCCAACUUCUGAAUGUUGACCUCGGAUCAGGUAGGAAUACCCGCUGAACUUAAGCAUAUCAAUAAGCGGAGGA
RNAcentral lists this unclassified non-coding RNA (332 nucleotides) under soil metagenome. RNAcentral's name for it is "partial contains 5.8S ribosomal RNA, internal transcribed spacer 2, and large subunit ribosomal RNA". The stretch from base 1 to 120 matches the Rfam family "5.8S ribosomal RNA", at positions 35 to 154 of the family's 154-position model. The record is from RNAcentral.